RNAcentral lists this ribosomal RNA (484 nucleotides) under uncultured bacterium. RNAcentral describes it as "partial 16S ribosomal RNA". It matches the Rfam family "Bacterial small subunit ribosomal RNA", at positions 28 to 523 of the family's 1533-position model. The record is from RNAcentral.
GACGAACGCUGGCGGCGUGCUUAACACAUGCAAGUCGAACGAUGAAGCCGGAGCUUGCUCUGGUGAAUUAGUGGCGAACGGGUGAGUAACACGUGAGUAACCUGCCCUUGACUCUGGGAUAACUGCGGGAAACUGUAGCUAAUACCGGAUACGACCCUCGGAGACAUCUCCUGGGGGUGGAAAGAAUUUCGGUCAAGGAUGGACUCGCGGCCUAUCAGCUAGUUGGUGAGGUAAAGGCUCACCACGGCGACGACGGGUAGCCGGCCUGAGAGGGUGAGCGGCCACACUGGGACUGAGACACGGCCCAGACUCCUACGGGAGGCAGCAGUGGGGAAUAUUGCACGAUGGGCGCAAGCCUGAUGCAGCGACGCCGCGUGAGGGAUGACGGCCUUCGGGUUGUAAACCUCUUUCAGCAUCGACGAAGCGAAAGUGACGGUAGGUGCAGAAGAAGGACCGGCCAACUACGUGCCAGCCGCCGCAGUAA